GGAAUCUUAGACAAUGGGCGCAAGCCUGAUCUAGCCAUGCCGCGUGAGUGAUGAAGGUCUUAGGAUCGUAAAGCUCUUUCGCUGGGGAAGAUAAUGACGGUACCCAGUAAAGAAACCCCGGCUAACUCCGUGCACGCAGCCGCGGUAAUACGGAGGGGGUUAGCGUUGUUCGGAAUUACUGGGCGUAAAGCGCACGUAGGCGGAUCGGAAAGUUGGGGGUGAAAUCCCGGGGCUCAACCUCGGAACUGCCUUCAAAACUAUCGGUCUAGAGUUCGAGAGAGGUGAGUGGAAUUGCGAGUGUAGAGGUGAAAUUCGUAGAUAUUCGCAGGAACACCAGUGGCGAAGGCGGCUCACUGGCUCGAUACUGACGCUGAGGUGCGAAAGUGUGGGGAGCA
This 395-nucleotide ribosomal RNA is filed under the name uncultured bacterium. RNAcentral describes it as "bacterial SSU rRNA". It matches the Rfam family "Bacterial small subunit ribosomal RNA", at positions 358 to 770 of the family's 1533-position model. The record is from RNAcentral.